UGCAAGGGAAAGAAUUCAGAGUAAAUAAACAGUCUUUUUCUGGGAAGUAAAGUAUUUCCCUAAGAUGGAGAAAUUGAGAUGAGAGCUCAUCCACAAGAUUACCCAUCAAUGAGCACCAAUAGCAACCAAAUCCACUAGAAGACUGGGAGCUUUUAAGUCAAGACACUUACAUCAGUAUCAUCAUUCCAAGAAGCGGUAUCCAAGUUGUUUUAUCAAAAGUGUGCAUGGGAGAUGGUGCUAUGAGUGGGGAGUGAGUCAAAAACUCCGCUGCGUUCACAAAAGGCUAUUCAAAUGUCCAAAGCAUCUAUGGGGAAUGGAGAAUAGUUGGAGGAUCUUUCUCCAGAAUCCUUCUGUUCUGUAGUACAAGUAUUACUCAUUAUAGACUAGCACGAAAAAUCAAGUGAAAUGCGAACUUAAGAGUUUAAAAAGAAUAAAUGGUGCUUUUCUGGCCUAUUAGUAAGAAAUUAAAUAAAAAUAAUUUUAAUUUGUAAGUAAUGAAUGCUAAUCUACAUUGUAUUAAUUGGGCUUAACCAGAGAGUUUUUGUUUACAUACAUUAGGCAAACAAACAAUAGGAAUGAGGAUUUUUAAUAAAGAAGGAAGCCAGAAACACACACACAAGCACACACACACACACACACACACACACACACCAAGUAAGAGAAUACUAAAAGAUCAGAGAAAAUGUAAUUAUACUUAUCAAAAAUGUUUUAAUGCAGUGGCCUAUUAGUUUCAGAAUAUAAAAUUUAUUUGAUUUGUUGAGCAACUUGGAGCUUAUUUUUUAAUCCUUUCAGAUAAUAGGAACUUGAAACAUACUUGGCCGUGUAUAAGAUAUAUGUGAUAUUAGAAAAUCAUAUAUAUCUGUUAAUAUAUAUUCAAAUAUAUUACUAAGCAAAAAUAUAUUUACAUGUUUAUAUCAAUGAUGCAAUUAAUAAAUGUUUUCACAUCCUGUGUCUCAAUUUAUCCUCAUAUAAAACAAGUGAGUUACUUAUUCUUUAACUUCUCUAGGCAAAUUUCAAAUAUUUUCUGAAUAUAACUACAGAAUGCUUGGUUUGUGUCUCUAUGAAAGGUCUUAACACACUCCUGCAAUGAAUUAUAUGCAUAUGGCUCUCCCAUACUGGGAAUGCCUAGAGGAGAGAAACUGUCUUCUUACCAUAUUUGUAUCUAUGGUUCAUGCCUGCUCCACAUAGACCCCUAGGUUUCACUAGAGAGAUCUCAAGACAGUAGGUUUGAAGUAAGAGAAUGGGAGGAUUUAGAGGCGUCUCGACUAUCAGCUUGGCGUCUGGGAAAUGUUUUGCUGUCUGCUUCAUCUCCAGUGCCUUGAACAGUACAUGUUUCUCGGGAGCCCCUGCAAGGUUUGUUGAAGGAGGGCAUACAUCAGGUAUUCCAUAAUUUAGCAACAUUCCAUAAUGUGGCUGCUAGUAAAUGGUUGGUUCAGGAUUUGAACCCAGGUCCUCUGUGUCAUGUUCUAAAUGUUAGGAGAAUAAAUCCCUCCCUUGUCUCAGUGAAGAUUUCCAAGCUGCCCUGGGUUGUUGUGUAUAGGUGUUUAGCUUAUGGGAUGGGACUGGAAGGUGGUGUAGGGACACAAAAGGAAUUAAAACAUGUAAGUUCACCUUGGUUGGCAUUUUCAUUUCUCCUUUGGAUAUCAAGCCUGAACAAUGAUUCUCAAAGAUAUGUAUUAAAUUCAGUAAGGAUUUACUAUUACUGCUCACCUAUUAAGUGCAAGGAACAGUUGUACUUAGUAGGAAUAAAGGGGUAUCUGGCACAAACUAUUCUGCCUGUUUUUUGUUUUUGUUUUUCGUUUGUUUGCUUGUUUGUUUUUUAGACAGAGUCUUGCUCUGUCGCCAGGCUGGAGUGCAGUGGCGCGAUUUUGGUUCAUUGCAACCUCCACUUCCUGGGUUCAAGAGAUUCUCCUGCCUCAGCCUUCCAAGCAGUUGGGACUACAGGCGUGCACCACCAUGCCCAGCUAAUUUUUGUAUUUUUAGUAGAGACAGGGUUUCACCAUGUUGGCCAGGAUGGUCUCAAUCUCUUGACCUCAGGUGAUCCGCCUGCCUCGGCCUCCAAAAGUGCUGGUAUUACAGGCGUGAGCCACCACACCCGGCCUAUUCUGCCUGUUUGUUGACUGCAGUCAUAGUAUGUUCUUGCUCCUCCCUGAGCUACUUUUGCUUUGAAUAAAACCAUGGUGUCAUGGAAAGAACAAAAAGCUCCAGGGUAGGGCACAUGUUUUCAAACUUAUUACAAGAGGGAGCCUGGAUGAGAGUAUCUUAAUAUACCUUUUAGAGCUGAUGUGUCCUUCUCUCCUUGAGAUCCAAUUAAAUUUACUUUCUGUGAGUUACAUGAUAGAAAGUGUUACAUUGUACAUUUUAGCAAUUUCAGCGUAUUCAGAUCAAACAAAAAAAAUUAGUUGAUUUGACUUGCUACAGUUUAUCUCUGCCACCAAAGUAAAUAGCAUGGACUUGAAGGUGCCAUCCCAACUAUUGCCCUGACAUUCCAUCACCUGCAUUUCCCAGAAAUCAGGUGAACGAUAUUUUUCAGUCUUGCUGCAUUUCACCUCUGGAGUGUGUAGACCCAGUCUUAAUGUGCCUAAACCAAAUGAGAUGUGUUAUCCCUUCCAAUGGAACUAAGCACUUUAAAUAACUAAGGAAUUGGAGAGAGAGAGAGAGAGAGAGAGAGAGUUUUCUAAAUUCAGCAAGAAAAAAUAAGGUAGUCGAGUUGUGUUUCAAACCACUUCUAUAAUUGGGAGCUAAACAAAUUUGUGGAGAAAGUACUUGGUCAACUGUAUAAUUUCUUCUACUAUUAACUAUCCAAAACAAACAAUUAAUUAAAAACUAAAUUAACACAGAUAAUGAAGACUAUUUUCUAAAACUGUGAACUUCGGAAAGGGGCGUGCUUUAUGGAUAUCUGUAAAGUCCAUAUUUGGACAACUAUCAGUUUAACUUUUAGUAAUCUAAAAUGCUCAACUUAAACUUCAUUUCCCACUUCUGCCAAAACCAGAAGAAUCAAAAAUACAGUGAAGGGGCAUGAGAUUUCCAGCUCACAUUUCCAAUCUCCAGAGGUUUGAAAAACAUCAUCUAUCUAUUUGAAUGCCUUGGUUGUGAUCCAAAAUGAAUUUGAACUUUAGAUACUUAAGAGUGACCCAUCACUGUUUAAAAGUCCAAAGUGGCCACAGAGAACCCUACGGACCAUUACUUCAUUGUUUAUUCUUGUAAAUUAUAAAUAUUUUUAAAAAUUCCAAAUUAUGAAGUUCGAAGGGGAUAUUUUAUAUCUCUCAGCCACUGUAAUUUUCUUCUUCCCUUCCUUGGGUGUUGGCCAUGUAUCUAUGAGUCCAGUUGGUAAAACAAUCAGUAGCAUUGACAGGAUGAUGUACUCUGGUCCGAAACUACAUUUCUCAGCUUUUUCAGUUCUCAGAAGACAGCGGAAAAUGUACUUAGCAAACUCUAUUAUAAAGGUCCAUGUUGUUCCAAAUAUUUAGUUGUACUUGAAGUAAAAUCAUGACUUCAAAUGCCAAGUGAAAUAAAGCAUAAUUUUCACACUGUA
Molecule: long non-coding RNA, 3535 nt
Filed under: Pan troglodytes (chimpanzee)
Lineage: Eukaryota; Metazoa; Chordata; Mammalia; Primates; Hominidae
Description: lincRNA
Source: RNAcentral